GGCGGACGGGUGAGUAAUAUAUAGUUAACCUGCCCUCGAGAAAGGAAUAACAGUUGGAAACGACUGCUAAUGCCCUAUAUGCCUUUAAGACAUAAGUCUGCAAGGGAAAUGCUUUUGUGCUCGAGGAUGGGACUGUACGGUAUCAGAUAGUUGGUGGGGUAAUGGCCUACCAAGUCAAUGACGCCUAACUGGUUUGAGAGGAUGAUCAGUCACACUGGAACUGAGACACGGUCCAGACUCCUACGGGAGGCAGCAGUGGGGAAUAUUGCACAAUGGAGGAAACUCUGAUGCAGCAACGCCGCGUGGAGGAUGACACAUUUCGGUGCGUAAACUCCUUUUAUAUAGGAAGAUAAUGACGGUACUAUAUGAAUAAGCGCCGGCUAACUCCGUGCCAGCAGCCGCGGUAAUACGGAGGGCGCAAGCGUUACUCGGAAUCACUGGGCGUAAAGAGCGUGUAGGCGGAUAGAUAAGUCAGAAGUGAAAUCCUAUGGCUCAACCAUAGAACUGCUUUUGAAACUGUUUAUCUAGAGUGUGGGAGAGGUAGAUGGAAUUUCUGGUGUAGGGGUAAAAUCCGUAGAGAUCAGAAGGAAUACCGAUUGCGAAGGCGAUCUACUGGAACAUAACUGACGCUGAGACGCGAAAGCGUGGGGAGCAAACAGGAUUAGAUACCCUGGUAGUCCACGCCCUAAACGAUGUACACUAGUUGUUGUGAGGCUUGACCUUGCAGUAAUGCAGUUAACACAUUAAGUG
This 750-nucleotide ribosomal RNA is filed under the name uncultured Arcobacter sp. Its description in RNAcentral is "bacterial SSU rRNA". It matches the Rfam family "Bacterial small subunit ribosomal RNA", at positions 97 to 866 of the family's 1533-position model. The record is from RNAcentral. Lineage: Bacteria; Pseudomonadati; Campylobacterota; Epsilonproteobacteria; Campylobacterales; Arcobacteraceae.